UUCGCGGUCUGGAUAAAGUCUUUUGGAUCGUCAGAGGUGCGUUUGAUUGUGGCAACUAACAAUUACCUUCACAACGAGGAAAAACCAAGGUCACUGCAACUUCUGCAGAUGUACAGGGAAGCCUCACUGUACCCAGCACCCCAAGGCUGAUUGCAUUCGAAGAUUCUGUUCUCCAUGCCAGAAGAUGGAUGCUUACAAUGGAGGGCAGAGUCAUCAUUGAGUCACAAGACCUAACUGAUUUUCAGUCCGCAUUAGCUGUCUUGUUUGGCUGCUACUACGCUUUCAAUGUUUAGUACCAAGAAGAGGCAGCUGCGACUCUGGAGUUCCUGCAGAGAUUCAUUCUCCCCGAAUAAACCCUGAUGGGACAAAAUGCCAGUCAAAGACACGGAUCAGCCGUACCUCUGGGAAGAAGGUGCAAUGAAAAAGUUCUGGCCUGAAUCCUCAUGUUGUGACUUAAAUAAAAGAGCUUGUUGACUUUGAUUGGCAGAAUUUUAAAAAAAUGACCAACGACCGAGUUAAGUAUUGUUAAUGUGGAAUGUGGAAAGUGUUAGUUUGAAUGGCUUGUUCUGCUUUUUAAAAUGUAGCCAAAAUGUAAUUUGUUCUUCAAGUAAAUUGUUGCCCUUUAAAGGGAUAGUUCACCAAAAAAUGAAGAUUCUGUCAACAUUUACUCACUCUGAUGAACAUGAAGGAGGAUAUUUUGAGGAAUGUUUGUAACCAAGGCAUUCGUGAGACACAUUUACAUAGUAUUCUUUAAUCCUACUAUGAAAGGUUGAUGAUUGGUUUGGUCACAAACAUUCCUCAAAAUAUCUUCACAAAGAACAAAGAAAUUGAUUUAGGUUUGAAACAACAUGAGAAGUAAAUGAACAGAAUUUUCAUUUUUGGGUGAACUAUCCCUUUAAGUAAAUGUCUGUUAGUAAUGUAAAACAACUUAAAGAGUGCAUUUAA
Molecule: non-coding RNA, 945 nt
Organism: Misgurnus anguillicaudatus (oriental weatherfish)
Lineage: Eukaryota; Metazoa; Chordata; Actinopteri; Cypriniformes; Cobitidae
Source: RefSeq, a predicted model, not a curated record